This 415-nucleotide ribosomal RNA is filed under the name uncultured bacterium. Its description in RNAcentral is "bacterial SSU rRNA". It matches the Rfam family "Bacterial small subunit ribosomal RNA", at positions 395 to 801 of the family's 1533-position model. The record is from RNAcentral.
UGCCGCGUGUGUGAAGAAGGCCUUUUGGUUGUAAAGCACUUUAAGCGAGGAGGAGGCUACUUAGAUUAAUACUCUAGGAUAGUGGACGUUACACGCAGAAUAAGCACCGGCUAACUCUGUGCCAGCAGCCGCGGUAAUACAGAGGGUGCGAGCGUUAAUCGGAUUUACUGGGCGUAAAGCGUGCGUAGGCGGCUUUUUAAGUCGGAUGUGAAAUCCCUGAGCUUAACUUAGGAAUUGCAUUCGAUACUGGGAAGCUAGAGUAUGGGAGAGGAUGGUAGAAUUCCAGGUGUAGCGGUGAAAUGCGUAGAGAUCUGGAGGAAUACCGAUGGCGAAGGCAGCCAUCUGGCCUAAUACUGACGCUGAGGUACGAAAGCAUGGGGAGCAAACAGGAUUAGAUACCCUGGUAGUCCAAGGG